RNAcentral lists this small nuclear RNA (103 nucleotides) under Mus pahari (shrew mouse). The record is from RNAcentral. Lineage: Eukaryota; Metazoa; Chordata; Mammalia; Rodentia; Muridae.
CUUGCUUUGGCAGAACAUAUACUAAAAUGGAAUGAUAUAGAGAAGGUUAGCGUGGCUUCUGUGCAAGGAUGGCAUACAAAUUUGGGAAGCAUUCCAUAUAACU